Molecule: long non-coding RNA, 850 nt
Organism: Xenopus laevis (African clawed frog)
Lineage: Eukaryota; Metazoa; Chordata; Amphibia; Anura; Pipidae
Exons: 3
Source: RefSeq, a predicted model, not a curated record
CCACCCUCUCUACUUCUUUUUGCUGAAGCAUAGGGGAGCCAGUAAAGAUUAAAUGUGCUUUCUACAAGGCAGUCACUUCAUGCUGCUAAUGUCUAUGGGGCCCUUUUUUGUAUGCAGAAGAAGGAAGAAAGCCGGGAAGAAAGAGUGGGUGAGGGAAAUAAAAGAAAGUGAAAGGAUCUGGGGAGAAAUACCAGGUGGGAAGAAAACAUCUCUAGUGGAUGAAGAAGAGGCAUUCGGUAUAUGUUUUCUCGGCACAAGCUGCUGGGACUUCAGCAUGGAAAGCUAAGCUGUCUCGCAAAUCCGCUGGACUAGGCUGGUUAAUCACAUUGGACACCUUAUUACUGUUAUAUGAGAUGGGCAACACAAGACAAAAUCGACUAUGGUUUGGCCAAUGUAGAUGAAGAAACAGCAAUAUCAGACGAAAGAGAGAGAUCAGAGGAAGAUAUAACGGCAUGAAAUAAAACUGCUAUACCCAGUGCACUUAUGUUUUGACUGCCUGCCUCAGAUAUGAUGAGGGAUUGACACAAAUCAUGUCCUGUACUGAAUAAAAUAACAGUAUUAAUAACCGUCUACUUUUAUGUUGAAACCAGCAUGGCAUCCAAUGAUGAUAACAUCAUUUCUUAAACAGUCUACUGCUGUCUGUUAUAAUAUCAGCAAUAAUAGCAGGGGAUCUUUGCAUAAAACUACUUGCUACAAUAUCAUCAUAAUUAAUUAUUAUAUAGGAUAAAAACUUUACCUGUUGUUGUUUUUCAUUUUUGUCACUCUAGCUGAGGGUGGUAUAGCAAUGCUGGAAGUCUGCAGGAAGACUAACACUAUUUAUCAACAGAGCCUGUCCUAGCAUCUAUAUAAG